UAGGGGUGCUCUCCAAGCUCAGCAUGAAGCCAUAAGGAAGGGGCAGCAAUUACAUGGAGUAGCAAUAACAGACCAGCCUCCUGGGUGCAAAGCACGGCGGACAGGGGCAAGAAAUGACCGGAGACGUGGCUUCUAGCUGUGGGACUCCCUCACCCAUGUGAUCUUCCUGGCUUCCAUGAUUAGGGAACUGAAGAGAUGGGGAUGGGGUUCAGGACCAGUCCCUGACACUUAAAGAACUUAAAUUACUUUUCUCCUUAGAUGUUUUUAUUCAACACACCUUAAUUAAGAACCUUAGAUUGAAUCAUAUGAAACUGCCAAUGGUCUACCAUGGGUAAUUUCACACAUUUGAAUGUAAUGUCAUGCUCCAGGAAAAGGGUUAAGGAAGCCAAGACUAAGAAAACAAACCUGGACUCUGUCCUCACAGAACUGAUGAUGCAGGUGGUAGGAAAACAAACAACAUACUAACAGAAAAAAAGAAGUGAAGGGGAUUAUGGCAGCAAAUAGCAUUUACCCAUGAAACAAACCCAAGGGGCAAAAGGCCAGGAGUGUUCAGAAAAACAUCUCUCCUUAUGGAAACCAAAUGAAUGGGUCAUGAUGGUUUGGAGGGUGUAUUGCUGUAACAAAUUACCACAAAUGUAGUGUAUUAAAACACCACCGAUUUAUUCUCUUACAAUUCUGGAGGUAAGAAGCCCCAAAUCAGGUUUAUUGGGCAAAAUCAAGGUAUCGGGAGGGUCAGGCUCCCUCUGGAGUCUCUAGAGAGGAAUUUGUUUCCUUAGCUUUGCCAUCCGCAAGGGCUGCAGUCCUUGCAUGUCUUGGCUCACGGACCUUUUCCUCCAUCAUCAAGGCCAGCAGCACAACAUCUUGCCUCCGUGGUCACUUGCCUCUUCUGUUUGUCAAAUCUCCCUCAUAUAAGGAUGCCUGUGGUUGCAUUGGGACUCACCUGGAUAACCCAGAAUAAUCUCCUCACCUCACGAUUCUUCAUUUAAUAACAUCUUCAAAGCCUCUUUCGCCGUAUAAGAAGCAAGUAUUGGAAACUAUAGAAGCACAUGGUGAAGAAGACAAUUGACCCAGUCUUAAGAGAUUUGAGGAUGACUUCCUGGAAGAAGUGACUUCCAAAGUAGAAUAUAAAGCAUAAGUAGGAGUUUGAAGACAAACAGUGUGGAAGAAGAAAAUGA
Myotis davidii is the source of this 1175-nucleotide long non-coding RNA. RefSeq lists it as uncharacterized. NCBI's taxonomy places the organism in Eukaryota, Metazoa, Chordata, Mammalia, Chiroptera, Vespertilionidae. The record is from RefSeq and is a predicted model, not a curated record. The transcript is spliced from 3 exons.